Molecule: non-coding RNA, 105 nt
Organism: Lasiosphaeria miniovina
Lineage: Eukaryota; Fungi; Ascomycota; Sordariomycetes; Sordariales; Lasiosphaeriaceae
Source: the annotation of a RefSeq genome assembly
GGGAUGAUAGUAUAGUGGUCAGUAUCUCUCGUUGUGGCUUCGUGGCUCUUGCAAGAGAUGCCAACAAUACCCGAGAAGACCCAGGUUCGAUUCCUGGUUAUCCCA